GACACAAUGACGUCAAAUGAAUCGAGAGUGCCUAAAGGGAAAGCUUGUACUUCAGAGCCUAGGCAUCCUCUUCCCAGGUCACUGUUUCCAAGCCACAGAACGUGGCCGCCCUGAAAAUAGAGAUACCAGCAGCUGCCUGAAGGAUGAAAAGGAGGGGUGGGGAAAGGAGAACGAAAAAGAGGUAGAAAGAUAAAACUGGAUAUUUCCUCCUUAGAAUGGAAAAGUAUGAAACAGAUCAGAGAAGAUUAAGCCCCCAAAGGGGGGAAAAAAGAAAGAAAGUAGGAAGAUCAAGGACGUUAUUGACAGAGUUUUGGCAGAUAAAGGAAUAUCUCUCUCUGUAAUAAAGGAUCCCUUAACUUGACAGUUGGUUAGCAUGCCUCAAACUGGAAUGGGAGGUGUCAUUCUAAGCAAAUCGCUGAUUAAGCAUAGGAACCGAGGCCACAGCAUCAAUUGAUCACUCAAUCAAUAGUGUUGUUUGAGUGCUUACUGUGUAAAGAGCCAAAGAAAGAUGCAAAGACCUGAUCCACUGGAGAAGAACAAAGUCUGAAGUGAUGAAUAGAACAUUUCCUCCUGAAAUCCACUGGUUCUUCCAAAUUGGGGUGAUUAGUAACUUCCACUGAAGAGAUCAAUACUUCCAUGUUACUCACAAGUAAAAAAAAAAGGUUAGUGCUACUGGCAUUGCAUUAGACAAAAUUCUAUUUAUUGCUAUUGUUCUUGUCUGUCUGUCUCCCCCAGUUAGACUGUAAGCUCGUCAAAGGGCAGGGACUGUCUCUAUCUGUUACCGAUUUGUACAUUCCAAGCGUUUAGUACAGUGCUCUGCACAUAGUAAGCACUCAAUAAAUACUAUUGAAUGAAU
RNAcentral lists this long non-coding RNA (856 nucleotides) under Ornithorhynchus anatinus (platypus). RNAcentral's name for it is "lncRNA (ENSOANG00000037150.1)". Lineage: Eukaryota; Metazoa; Chordata; Mammalia; Monotremata; Ornithorhynchidae. The record is from RNAcentral.